AUUAAAACAACAUAAGUAAUAUUAACAUUUUAUUCAAUUAUUCAUUGUACAUUAACGUACAUUCAGUGCCGAUACAUAUGGGAUCACUGUUCUGGCUAUUCGAUACGUUUAUAAUCGGAAAACACUAACCUAUUUCAGCAAUUAAAAUUUUCACUUAGGUACAUGUUAGGGUGCGUACUGAUUGACGCAUUCGCUUGUAAUGUAACAGCGAGCAUUCGAACGUUACAUUACCUCACAGUCACCGAUAUCGGUUAAUACCUACGUCAAGCUGAGAAUUAAGUUUGAUAUCUAUAGAACACACUUUGAAUUUAGAUUUAUGCCAGCAGUAUAACGCUGUCUCGUUUUAACAGUGUCUUAACUCUGAGCAAAGGCAAAGUGCGCUAGAAAUCAGUCUUAGACUACACACUUUGCAAUGAAGUUACAACUUUUUAACACUGUUGUAGCGACUGCUGUAUGCUAAUAGUAUGAGCUUUUACAUCUCCCCAACGUUGACG
Maniola jurtina (meadow brown) is the source of this 494-nucleotide long non-coding RNA. RefSeq lists it as uncharacterized. NCBI's taxonomy places the organism in Eukaryota, Metazoa, Arthropoda, Insecta, Lepidoptera, Nymphalidae. The record is from RefSeq and is a predicted model, not a curated record. The transcript is spliced from 2 exons.